This 71-nucleotide transfer RNA is filed under the name Tanytarsus inextentus. Its description in RNAcentral is "partial tRNA-Ser". Lineage: Eukaryota; Metazoa; Arthropoda; Insecta; Diptera; Chironomidae. The record is from RNAcentral.
AUUUUUUACAUUACAAAAUUAAUUUCUAUUUUAGUUAUUUUAAAAAAUAAAAAUAAAAUAAAGUAAUGAGC